CCAAUAGCGUAUAUUAAAGUUGUUGCAGUUAAAAAGCUCGUAGUUGAAUUUCGGGAUUAAUUUAUUGGUCGUGCUAUUGUACGUACUGGUAUUAUUGAUUCCUACCUUCUGACGAACCAUGAUGUCAUUAAUAUGGUGUCAUGGGGAAUCAGGACUGUUACUUUGAAAAAAUUAGAGUGUUUAAAGCAGGCUCACGCUUGAAUACAUUAGCAUGGAAUAACGAAAUAGGACGUUUGAUUCUAUUUUGUUGGUUUCUAGGAUCGACGUAAUGAUUAAUAGGGAUAGUUGGGGGCAUUAGUAUUCAAUUGUCAGAGGUGAAAUUCUUGGAUUUAUUGAAGACUAACUACUGCGAAAGCAUUUGCCAAGGAUGUUUUCAUUAAUCAAGAACGAAAGUUAGGGGAUCGAAGACGAUCAGAUACCGUCGUAGUCUUAACCAUAAACUAUGCCGACUAGGGAUCGGAUGAUGUUAAUUUUUUAAUGACUCAUUCGGCGCCUUAC
RNAcentral lists this ribosomal RNA (498 nucleotides) under uncultured Glomeromycotina. RNAcentral's name for it is "partial small subunit ribosomal RNA". It matches the Rfam family "Eukaryotic small subunit ribosomal RNA", at positions 591 to 1091 of the family's 1831-position model. Lineage: Eukaryota; Fungi; Glomeromycota. The record is from RNAcentral.